GGGUUUUUAGGUUCUUGGAUUUCUUCUAAAAUAAGAUUAAAAAAUUAACGAUUAGAAUUUAUAUAAAAACUAAUAUAUAUCAUGAAAACUGUAACACAAACCUCAUAGAUUUGUUACGUAUUAAUUCACUGGAUUUUGAUCUAACUGCCAUUAUAUUUCUUGUAAAGUUUCUUCUUAAUUUCUCUUUUUAACUUCUUUUUU
This 201-nucleotide long non-coding RNA is filed under the name Citrus sinensis (sweet orange). RNAcentral describes it as "long non-coding RNA (CSIN_LNC004291)". Lineage: Eukaryota; Viridiplantae; Streptophyta; Magnoliopsida; Sapindales; Rutaceae. The record is from RNAcentral.